Non-coding RNA from Oryctolagus cuniculus (rabbit), 9146 nucleotides. The record is from RefSeq and is a predicted model, not a curated record. NCBI's taxonomy places the organism in Eukaryota, Metazoa, Chordata, Mammalia, Lagomorpha, Leporidae.
GCGGCGUGCGUGUCUCCUCCUCCCCGAGUGACACAGCAGUGAGAAAUGCCUAUCAGUAACUUAAACCCCCGAAACUCCACCUUCCGGGCGCGCGGCGCGGAGCCCGGCGGUGGGAAUGGAGCGAGCAGAUUGAGGCCGCCACUGCCGCGUAGCCAGCAUGAACUUGGUCGUGAGCUGAAGCGGCCAGCGGCAGGCGGGUGCGGGGGCACGGGCCGCUAGCCACGGGGUGAUCUGCAACGGGGCUGGGCCACUCGGCGGGCGCCUGGGGUCAGGCUGCCCAAGCCGGCGGCCGCCCGCCCCUUGGGCACUGCCCCCGCCGCCUCCGGAGCUCUGCAGCACGCCCUGUGUCUAGGUCAUUUGGGAAACGCCUUGGAGAGUCAAGAAUAAAAUUGCAGGUCAAACAAUGGAUGACUGGAAAAGUCGGCUUGUAAUCAAGAGCAUGCUUCCCCAUUUCGCCAUGGUGGGAAAUCGUCAGGAGCCCAGAAAGCUCCAGGAAUCGUCACAGGGAGCCAUUAAAAGGAGGCAAGAAAGAGAUCACUUCCAGUUUCCAGGCAUGGCUGAUGGAGGUUAUCCUAAUAAGAUUAAGAGGCCCUGCCUUGAAGAUGUCACCCUUUCUGUGGGCUCAGGAGGCCAUCCUAGUACUUCCUGUGCAGAGCUGCAGAUGCCUCCGUUAACAAUGAACCCUAGCCCUGAGACUAUGGGAGUAGCUGGCCACUCCUUACUACCUGAGAAUAACCCUAUGAAUGGCAGUGUUAUGGAUGCCCCAUUUGUGGUGCCACCAACUACGGAGAUGGGGGUGAAAGGGCCCACUGUCCCUUACUAUGAGAAAGUCAACAGCACUCCAGCUGUGGACCAGGAACUUCAAGAACUACUGGAGGAACUAACGAAAAUUCAGGAGCCUUCUCCAAGUGAGCUAGAUCUUGAGAAGAUACUGGGCAGCAAGCCAGAAGAGCCACUGGUCUUAGACAAUCUACCAGCAACCCUAGGCACCACUCCCAAAAUUUCAGUCCACCACAUGCCACACAUGGAGAGCCUGGGUUCCAGCAAGGAGUUUGCUUCUAGCUGCAGCCAAGUCACUGGUGCGCCCUUUCCAAUCCCGCCCUCCUCCACAGGGGUCAGCUAUUCGAUUCCUUCCAGUCGUAAGCAGAUGGUCUCACCCAGUUCCUCGACAGCGCAGGCCAAGAACCAGGGCCAGGCCAUGCUCCCUGUUAGUCUGCCGCCCCUACCAGCGCCCCAGUGGCAUCAUGCCCACCAGCUGAAGGCGCUGGCAGCCAGCAAGCAGGGAUCUGCUACAAAGCAUCAAGGGUCCUCCCCUACGUGGUCUGGCCUGCCUCCUCCAGGCAUCUCCCCACCUUACCGCCCAGUCCCAACGCCACACCCACCACCGCCUCCACCUCCGCCUGCAUUCAGCCCUCAGAGCCUCAUGGUGUCGUGCAUGGCACCCCACAGCUUGCCGGGUAGCAGCCUGCAAGGCUCUCCCAAUGCCUUACUCUCCAGCAUGGCACCCAACAGCAGUGGUGCCCUGGGGCCUGCCUUGCCCUAUGCUACUGAGAAGCUCCCCAGCACGGCUCUCAGUCAGCAGUCGCAGUUCAGCCCACAGAGCUCCAUUCUCGCCAACCUGGUGUCAUCGACCAUCAAAAGCCCUCAGGGACACCUGAUGUCUGCUCUGCCCACCAACACCCCAGGCCCAUCCCCACCCUAUCGCCCAGAGAAGCUGGCCAGCCCAGGCUUGCCGCAGCAGUCCUUCACGCCACAGUGCUCCCGGAUCCGGAGCCUGACACCCACCAGCCAUCUGCCGAGCCAGCAGCCGCCAGCCAACCCCAUCUUUAAGCCUGUGACCAGCAGCUCAUCCAAAACCCUGAACGUGGGCAUGCAGCAAGGGAUGGUCAGCGCCAGCCCGGCAGCCCCCGAGCCAUUCACUUUCGGCAACACCAAGCCCUUGUCCCACUUUGUCUCUGAGCCAGGCCCCCAGAAGGUACCCCCCAUGCCUGCCACCUCCAGGCAGCCUUCCCUGCUCCACUACCUGCCCCAGACAACAGCAGCACAGGCCUCUGCUGUCACUGCCUCCUCCAGCACCACUGUUACCUUGCAGCCGCAGCCGCAGCCGCAGCCGCCGCCGCCGCCACCUGACUCCUCUCCAUUCCUGCUGCGGCAGGUGGUGCAGCAGCCACAGCGCUUUCGGCGCUCAGUGGCUGCAGACUCCGUGCCUGCUCUGCCCACACAGGGCUGUUCCCAACAGUUUACAUGGACUUCUGCAGCUAGCUCGGUGGAGCACCAGCAUCAACACUGGAACUCUUUCACUAGCAGGCAAGAACCUCAGCCUGGAGACCUGUCAACACCUAACAUUACUCAUGUAGACAAAGCCUGCAAGCUUGGGGAAGCCAGGCCCCCCCAGGUCAGCCUCGGGCGACAGCCCCCAUCCUGCCAGGCCCUGGGGAGUGAGUCCUUCCUGCCCGGCAGCUCCUUUGCUCAUGAGCUGGCCCGAGUCACCUCGUACAGCACCUCAGAGGCAGCGCCCUGGGGCAGCUGGGAUCCGAAGCCCUGGAGGCAGGUGCCUGCUCCACUACUGCCUAGCUGCGAAGCUGCAGGUAAGUCACUUCCCCCUGAGCCUCGCUUUCUUCAUCUGUCAACUGGGGCACAGUCCCCUGCUCAGCCUAUCCGCCUGCCUCACAGAGUUGUUGGGAGGAACAUAGGAGGUGACAGCUCCAAAGGAGGCCCUUUGCAGCCCUCAAAGCUCUGUAUGCCUCUGAGGGGUUUCUAUUGCUUUCUCACCCUGCUUGUUCUCUCCUCUCUCCCGGGCAAUCUUUCAAAAGGGACAGCUAUGUGAGCAAGUGCUCCAGGUGCCUCAGACUCACUUCUGGGGAAACAAGAGGGGGCUUGCCCAGGGUGCGAUUGCUCUCUCCCUCUGCCAUAUGCCUCCCAGCACCCCAUGCCCAUACCUGCCUGUACGGCCAGAUGGGGAGCCCGAGGAGGACAGAGUCUGAGUUUCUGCACUGCUGGGUCCCCUCCCUGUCCACCCCAGUGGCUGUCUGCUUGAUACCUAGUUCAUGCUCAGGAACUGCCUCCCCAGCCAGUGACCUGCCAUGGAUUCUGCACCCCACGCUGUUCUUUGGCCCCACCCAAGACUCCCACAGUCUUAUCGGAAAUUGAAUUGCCACACUGGAGGAUUGGCAAUCCGGGAAGAGAAGGCAGAAGGAGUACAAGGCAAGUCUGUCCAAGAUGCCUGUGAGUUUGGAUCGGGCUCUAGAUCUUACAGUCUGGGAGCAAUGGCUUGACCUGCCCCCAGAGAGUUCCAUUAGUGGUCGAGACGGUAGACAUUAGCCAGAGUGAGCCUUUCAGAGAAUUCCACUUGGACCAUGCAGCGGUUGUUCUGGUGCAUGAAAUAUCAGUGUGCGCAGAAUGCCUGCCCUAUCUGCCGGGAAAACUGGAGAAGUGAGCAUUUUCUAAGUGAUAGUGAUCAGAAGACGGUCAUCAAGCUGGAAAGGCCUCCCAGGAUUAUGGCCUUUAAUGGAAAUUCUGCUUUGGUACGUACUGCCUGCUUCUCUCUGUGCUGCUUGCUCUGGCCUGGAAGAACAAGCAGUGCUUUCUGCCCAAGGGCUAUUGAUUUUGCUCUCUCUCUCUCUCUCUCUCUCUCACAAUCCCAGCACCUCUCCGCUGCGCGCUCUGCAGCCGAAACCAGAGAAAUCGUGUCCAGCACAAUGCUGCCAGGGAAACAGAAUUAGCCAAACAGACAGAGACGGCGUCCACACAGGAUGUCGCUGUUUCCAUCCUGGUCUGCCCUGCCCCGCCCUGUCCUCGGAAACCACAAAUGAGAGGAUCCCAGCUUGCUGGCCUCGAGAGUGCCUCCCCGUUCCCACCUACCUCAUUAGCCAACACCUUUCACCCAGCAGUGAAGGGCAGGUCAGAGGUGCAGGGUGGGGGCACAGCUUUUGUGAGAACCCUGGACAUCGGGCCCCCUGGGGAGCUUUGAGGGACAGGUCACUAAGUGCUCCCUCUGGGCACAGCCACCUUGUCAGGCAGCCAUGAGCCAGUGUGAAACAGAGGAUGCAGGCACCGCAGGGCACAAAGAAAGACAUUUGUUUCCUCUGCCUGGGGAUCAUUCCCAGCAUCUAAACCAAGCCCUUCCGGGACUGCUUGCCCUGGCACCACAAGGCCUAGGAGGAGUCAGAAUAGAGCUUGCACAGUCAAAAGUCAAGGUCUCUGCCAUGGCAUUUAUUUUGUGAAGCCUCCAUGACAGCUUCACACUGAUUCAAACCUAAAGCCAGCACCUGUUUCCAUAGUAGAAGCCCCCAACUCCUGCACCAGGGCUCCAGAGGUGCAGGAAAAGACUCAGGCAGCCAACGUUGCCCAGGUCCGGCCUAACAUCAAGAGUGGCAGGGCAGGUUCCACUCCCCCCUCGCGGCCCCAGCCCUGGCUCGAGGUUUCUGCCCGUGCCUGCCCUCUUGCCAUCCCUUCCGUCUUCAGAACGUGUUCUUCCUUCAUUUAUUUGUUUGUGGUUGUCAGUCUCUGUGUCUACUAUAAGUUCCGGGACAGUACAGACACACAGUGGACCAGGCUCUGUCCCAAUUAUUGUCACAUUCAUGACAAAGAUUUGUCAACUACUCAACAGGGGCGGUGAGUGGGCUGCCACGUAGGCCCAAUCUUCCCACUAGCUCCUUGGGCAGGUAGGGUCCAGAGCCCAGGUCCCCUCUGGCUGCACGCUAGGCAGUCCGCAAGGAAGAGAAGUGGUGUGAUGCACAUUUCCUAGUUUGGCCUCCUCUGCAGGCAUUCUGGAGAAACUGAGUCCCAGGCUCUGAGAGUGAGUGCAAACCUAGGAAACAACUGCAACUCUCCUGCCAGUUACUGUAGGAAACCUUGUAGUUUUGGAAGGCCACUUAGGGAGUUUCGCCGAAGAGCAUCAGCCCCUCGCGGGCUGGGCUUCUGGCAGCAGUGUCCACACUGCCUCCAUCUAUGGGCCGUAGCUACCCAGAGCCUGUAGGUUUCAGGAGCUUCAAACCAAUGGCAUGGGAACCCCCAGAAUUCCCAUCUUGAUUUUAUGGUGGUCUCCACAUGGUACGCCAUCCUCCUAUCAUUUCAUUUCAAAGGAUAAGUCAGAAGAAUGGGUGAGACGUUCCCAAAUCUGGCUUCCAAAAUCUAGCUUCCAAAAUCUAUAAAAGAAGGUGAUUUUCCCUGCGGAGGAAUAAACAAACCCAAUCUGGAGCUCACUAAGCUUUGGGACAGACAUGCAGCCUGUGCUGCAUGACAGGCUGGCCCUGGAUGAGGUAUCCCUAUCCAGCGGGAAAGAAGGCAGGAGUUCCUUGGUGGAGGGCAGGGGGAUAAUCCCCCCACUGUCCUCUCUCUCCCUCUCUCCCUCUCUCCCUCUCUCCCUCUCUCUCCCUCUCUCCCUCUCUCCCUCUCCCUCUUUCCCUCUCUCCCUCUCCCUCUCCCUCUCCCUCUCUCUCUCCCUCUCCUUCUCCCUCUCUCCCUCUCUGCCUCUCUCCCUCUCUCCUCCCUGCUCCUCGACAAACUUUAUGCAAGUGAGGCUUUGGAUGCAUCCCCCGCUGUCUUGCAGAGGCUGUUUCCUUUGAGUCUCCUUCCCACUACAGUGCUGUCCUCCAGGGACUCAUGGGCAGAGUCACUUCAGUCUGCAGCAGGCUCAGCCUUUUGUGGGCAUCAGUCUGAGCCCAGCUAAUCAGCGGCCCUCUGCCUCUGCCCGGUUUCAGAGUCUGUGCCUGAUGAAUGGUUGCAUCAGUCAUGAGGUUCUUCCCCCUCCACCCUUAUGAGGGGACAGCAUGCAGGUGAUUGCAUGGGGUGGACAGGAGACCUCACCAUGUGGUGGCUGAGGGUGAAGCUGAUGUGACCUGGGCCCUGCACUGGGCUCUGCUGUGCCUGCGGGUCUUGGUGGGAUUUGGCAGGCCAGUCCUUUGGCCUCUCUCCUGCCCAACACACAGGAUGAGGCACUGGCCCUUCCGUGAGCCCCCAGACGGGCUGGGGCUUCCUAGUGUCCUGAGCAGCAGCAUGAUGCUUCCAGAAAGCCAGCUCUGGAAGCUCAGAAAGGGGUCUGCUGGGUUUCCAUGCGGGGUGAGACCCAUCUGUGAAAGUGGCCCCUGGGCUGAGUGGGGCCGGCGGUAGGCGAUGUGACAGAACAGCCAGGGCAUUGGUCUUCUGUGAGGCUUCCGUUGGCCCCAGCAGUGCACUCACCAUGGUGGCCACCACGGGGGACGCACACCUGGGCUCCGCGAGGCCCCACCUGUCAGGGCUGCUCAUCGGUGUCACCUGGCACAAUAGGAGCCAGUGCUGUGGCAAUUGCAGUCCUAGAAAAUUGAGUCAUCUGAUGACCUCUUCCAUAAGUUUGCUUCUGAAAACACCCCCCCAUCCCCGGGCCUGGACCCUCCUUUACAACAGGGCAAGAGGCAAGUGUCCUGUCACUAAGCAGAAACUUUCAGCCACAGCUUCCUCCUGGUCACCGAAACCAUUUGUCAUUUCCUGUUUUCUCCACUCUCCACCAAUUCGAAUUGUCAGUGUCAAAAGGCAACAACUGUUUUCUCCAGGCUUAUCUUGGGAGCGCACUGAUUGAGAACAAAGGAUGGGAGCCUCCUCCGCCUGCAAAACAAAGGAAGCAGCCUCCUCAGGAGGCCGGAGAGACUGCCCUGGCUUGUCUGCCAGGGACAACCGGACCGGCUGCAUGCAGAGGACCGGCAGUGCCCCUGGACACCCCUGUGGGGCGAAGGGCCCAUGAAGGGUCCUGGCUGGCUGGCUGGCUGUCCCCCCCCCCGCCCCGCCCCGGGGAUCCUGCAGAGCUGGCCACCAGCGCCACAGGCUGGGUGUCAAGGGCAAUGUUUGGCCUUGGCAGUCUGCACAGUGAUGCCACUGACCAGAUUCUCCCUUAAGCUCUGGAUGCUCUGGAAUGAACGUUUCCUUGGAUGAAGACUUCACCGCACCCCUCAGGCUCUGUAACCCUGCAGUGGCUGCAAAGCGCUCUCUUCAUCUAGCCAGGGCUACUCAGUCCCUCCCCCUCUGAACAGUGCCUUGGCCCAGCCUUUCCUUUUGUCUUCCAGGCCCCUGCGUGGACUUUCUCUGGACCUCCUUCCCCUUGCACUUCUCUGGCCUCCCCAGCUUGUUCUUUGGUCACACUCUCUAGCCUCCAUCUGUCUCUGGUACCCACCACCACAAAACUGUGUUCUUUGAUGACACUAAUGAGACAGCCCAUGAGCAUGGAGUUGGGGUCAGUACAGACCUCGCCAGCCACACAAGAACUGGUCCCAGUCCCCAGAAGUGACCAAGCCCUGGAUCUGCCAUGAGGAGGCAUUGCACUUCCUAGCCAUGUCACUUUGGGCAAGUUGUUUAAUCACUUGGAGCAGCACAUGUCACACCAGUAAGCUGGGCACUGUAGAUCUGCUGCCCUCAUGUCCUCGGGCUGGGGUAAAGGCUCAAGGGAAAGGACAGAGGUGAAAGGGCUGCCUUCAGAUACGGUCCCCACGCUGAGCAUCUCAGAGCUGGAUGCUGUGACCUUGGGCAGUAAUGUGACUCCUGUGCUUCUCUUGAGAGAUGAUGCGAAGUAACGGGCUCAAAAUGCUUGGGACACUGAGCACCCAGUCAGUGCUUAGGAAGGAAGAGGGCAGCUCCGUGGGUCAGCAGAGAAAUGCCCUGCACCCGCACUAUUCACACACCAGCAAGAGGCAGGAGCUACAACAGGAAGCAGGCUAAGAGCAGCAUGGAUGAAAGAGCAAGCCUCAGCCUGGUAAACUGCUUCUGGUGCAGUCUCCGUGGUGCCAGUGUUUGUCCUCUCUGCCGUGGCAGGAACUGAGGCCAGGAACUGCUGCCAGGCCUCAGAGCUGGGCGUGCUCCCAAACGCUGGCCCUCCUGCCGCCCCUCCCACGCCAGCCCGGGGAGCCCUUUGCUGGAGACCAUGGCACAGGCAGCCCACGCUGUACGGUUAAGUCUGGCCAUCUAGAGACACAAGCCAGAGCUGCCUCGGUGCUUGGCACACUGGCAAGCAGGCUUCUUGAGAAGGGGUGAGAGAUGGCAACAGGUGCACAGAGGGGCAGUGCUGCUCCAGCAAUGUUGUGUGAGGCUUUGAGCUCUGGGCUGGGGGUCAGAGCUCCGUCCCAGUGGCAGCCUGGCACAGUUGGCAGAAGAUCUCGGAGUGAGUCUCAUUCUCUGGGCAUUGGGACUUUCACGUGACUCUCCCCCUGGCUAUGUUCUUUCCCUUUGCCCCACGAGAUUGACACUGUGCCAUCUGACUUCACUCCUCCCCCCUCACCCCCAGACCAAGCAGCCAGCUGUGCAACGGAGACAGGAAGCUCCUUCCAGCUGCCCAUGCUGUAAGCCAGCCAGGAGAAGGAGGGAGAGUUGGCUGUCAGUGCAUGUUUGGCUACUGCUGAUGUCAGGGCAUCCACCUGACCUUGUGAUCCUCCAGCCAUUCAGGCCAGGACCACCAGCACAAGCCACAGCAGCUCCGAUCCCCGGAUGGUUCGCCAUGCUUUGUGUACUCCCAUUACUUCCCUCCCUCUAAACAGCCAGUUCAUCUGGCUCUCCCUGAGACUGUCAGGCUCCGUGCUCCAGUCAGCACCAUGGAUAUGGUCUGGUCAGGGCGGGAUAGCGUAGGACUGUCACCUCCCUCCUUCUACACACUCUGCUUCUCUUAAUGCAGCCUAAUGUGACAUUUGUUCUUCUGGUGCCCACAUCUCACUGCUGACGCAUCCUGCGCAGUUGGACAUCCAAAAUGCCUAAAUCUUUUUUUUUUCUAUGUGCUCGUGCUACUAAGCUCUGUCUCUCCUGCCCCAUUCUAUGCUGUUGCAGUUGGUUUUUUUUUUUUAACCCAGGUGCGGAAGCCUACUUUUAUUUAUACCUUUGGAAUUUUGCUCAGGAGGGUGGGGCAUGCAUGCGAGUGUGUGUUGAUGUGUUCACUCAUGCUUCCUGCUACACCAAAGCCAAGUCCUAGGUCCCCACACAGUGAUCUCGAGCUAAUAUGUCUUGGUAGUUGUAAUCUAAUGUGUCCUUUUCAUCUUCUGUUUAGCAAGAGAAACAGAGAUCAGGUCUUAUGGCAAUGACCCCUGAACAGCAAAGUGCAUAUAUCGCCCAACAGAUGAGUCAAUUUCAAGCCGUCCAAGAACAAGUCACCUCCAAGCGUAGCCGAACCAAGGCAAGCCCCACACCUAGCCAGC